GUCACUUUGCCGGAGUGGUUAACGGGAUCGCCUGCUAUUUCUUGAGCUAGCGGUUGUGCUUUGCACGCGAGUGUUCGAAUCGCUCAGGUGACG
Molecule: non-coding RNA, 93 nt
Organism: Fomitiporia mediterranea MF3/22
Lineage: Eukaryota; Fungi; Basidiomycota; Agaricomycetes; Hymenochaetales; Hymenochaetaceae
Source: the annotation of a RefSeq genome assembly